AUGAACGCUGGCGGCGUGCCUAACACAUGCAAGUCGAACCGGUAACAGGCUGUAUGGGAUCCCUUCGGGGUGAACUUGGCGCUGACGAGUGGCGAACGGGUGAGUAACACGUAGGAAUCUACCCAGGAGUGGGGGACAACCCGGAGAAAUCCGGGCUAAUACCGCAUACGCCCUACGGGGUAAAGUGGGGGACCUCUUCGGAGGCCUCACGCUUUUGGAUGAGCCUGCGUCGGAUUAGCUUGUUGGUGAGGUAACGGCUCACCAAGGCGACGAUCCGUAGCUGGUCUGAGAGGAUGACCAGUCACACGUGGGACUGAGACACCGGCCCAGACCUCCGUACGGGAGGCAGCAGGUGGGGAAUUAUUGGAACAAGUGGGGGCAACCCCUGAUCCAGCCAUGCCGCGUGUGUGAAGAAGGCCUUCGGGUUGUAAAGCACUUUCAGUAGGGAAGAAAAGCACAAGGCUAAUAUCCUUGGGUAUUGACGGUACCUACAUAAGAAGCACCGGCUAAUUCCGUG
This 517-nucleotide ribosomal RNA is filed under the name uncultured bacterium. RNAcentral describes it as "bacterial SSU rRNA". It matches the Rfam family "Bacterial small subunit ribosomal RNA", at positions 29 to 507 of the family's 1533-position model. The record is from RNAcentral.